CCUGACGGUAGUCGUAUGCUCGUCUCCGAGACUAAGCCAUGCAAGUCCAAGUACACGUCCUUGAACGACGGAAACUGCGAACGGCUCAUUAAAUCAGUUGCGAUCUACUCGGCGUUCCGCGCCGCCGGAUAACCGUAGUAAUUCUAGGGCUAAUACGUGCGAAGCGCCCGAAGCCGCGAGGCGACGGCGUUCUCGCCAGAUGUAGGGAACCGACCCCGGGGACCGCCCGGGGGCAACCCGGCGCCCCGAGACGGGCGAACCACGGUGAAAUGACGGAUCGUCGGCCCCGCGCCGGCGACUCGCCGAAUGAGUUUCUGACCUAUCAACUCGAGACGGCGGGGUAGAGGCCCGCCGCGGUAACGACGGGUAACGGGGAAUCAGGGUUCGAUUCCGGAGAGGGAGACCCGAGAAACGGCUACCACUUCCAAGGAAGGCAGCAGGCGC
RNAcentral lists this ribosomal RNA (444 nucleotides) under uncultured eukaryote. Its description in RNAcentral is "bacterial SSU rRNA". It matches the Rfam family "Eukaryotic small subunit ribosomal RNA", at positions 13 to 435 of the family's 1831-position model. The record is from RNAcentral.